UGGGGAAUAUUGCACAAUGGGCGCAAGCCUGAUGCAGCCAUGCCGCGUGUGUGAAGAAGGCCUUCGGGUUGUAAAGCACUUUCAGCGGGGAGGAAGGCGAUAAGGUUAAUAACCUUGUCGAUUGACGUUACCCGCAGAAGAAGCACCGGCUAACUCCGUGCCCGCAGCCGCGGUAAUACGGAGGGUGCAAGCGUUAAUCGGAAUUACUGGGCGUAAAGCGCACGCAGGCGGUCUGUCUAGUCGGAUGUGAAAUCCCCGCGCUCAACCUGAGAACUGCAUUCGAAACUGGCAGGCUAGAGUCUUGUAGAGGGGGGUAGAAUUCCAGGUGUAGCGGUGAAAUGCGUAGAGAGCUGGAGGAAUACCGGUGGCGAAGGCGGCCCCCUGGACAAAGACUGACGCUCAGGUGCGAAAGCGUGGGGAGCAAACAGG
RNAcentral lists this ribosomal RNA (429 nucleotides) under Chloroflexota bacterium. RNAcentral describes it as "Chloroflexi bacterium partial 16S ribosomal RNA". It matches the Rfam family "Bacterial small subunit ribosomal RNA", at positions 355 to 776 of the family's 1533-position model. Lineage: Bacteria; Bacillati; Chloroflexota. The record is from RNAcentral.